Molecule: non-coding RNA, 27 nt
Filed under: Mus musculus (house mouse)
Lineage: Eukaryota; Metazoa; Chordata; Mammalia; Rodentia; Muridae
Source: RNAcentral
GCACACAGUAUCAGUGAAUGUCUCCCA